Molecule: non-coding RNA, 197 nt
Filed under: Microscilla marina
Lineage: Bacteria; Pseudomonadati; Bacteroidota; Cytophagia; Cytophagales; Microscillaceae
Also listed under: 1 other name
Source: RNAcentral
UUCCUUUGCACCAGUUUUGGUAACACUCCUCUUUUUCAGAGGCGUGUUUUAAUAGGGAAUCUCGUGUGAUUCGAGAGCUGUCCCCGCAACUGUAAGCCACCAAACAAAUUCAUCACCCCUGCCACUGUUGUUAACUCCAACGGGAAGGCGUUGAAUUUUGGGCAAGCCAGGAGACCUGCCAAAAAAAGCCUGCAAUC